AUGGCGUCGCUCUCCCUCUCCCUCCGCGCCUCCGCCUCCCCGGCCGCCUCCGGAUCCCGCGCCGCCGCCCCAAUCAAGGCAUCGUGCGUGAGGAGCAAGGUUGCCUGCAGCUUCCCUUCCGUCGGAGCUACCUCCUCACCUGCUAGAAGCAUUGAGCCGGUAAGAGCCACCGCCACACAGGCGCCCCCUGCCUCCUCUCAAUCUUCUAGUGGGGAGAAGACAAAGGUCGGCAUCAAUGGUUUUGGGCGGAUUGGGAGGUUAGUUCUGCGAAUUGCAAUCGAUAGAGAUGAUAUUGAAGUUGUGGCCGUCAAUGAUCCGUUUAUCGAUGCUAAAUACAUGGCCUACAUGUUUAAGUAUGAUUCCACACACGGUCCAUUCAAAGGAACCAUAGCAGUUCUGGACGAGUCAACCUUGGAGAUUAAUGGGAAGAAAGUCUCAGUUACAAGCAAAAGGUGGUGUCACAUAUCUCUUUUCUUAUCAACUCCAAUGCUGGCAAGUGUCAGAUUCAGAUAUCAAGUGUUCUUUUCACUGGACCCCUCAGAUAUCCCUUGGGGUAACUUUGGAGCUGAAUAUGUUGUUGAAUCAUCUGGUGUUUUUACAACAGUUGAGAAAGCUUCAGCACAUUUGAAGGGGGGUGCAAAGAAAGUGGUGAUAUCGGCUCCGUCAGCGGAUGCUCCCAUGUUUGUUGUUGGAGUAAAUGAGAAGAAUUACAACCCUAGCAUGGAUGUCGUCUCUAAUGCUAGUUGUACCACCAACUGUCUUGCUCCUGUUGCCAAGGUUGUCCACGAGGAGUUUGGCAUUCUUGAAGGCCUAAUGACAACUGUCCAUGCCACAACAGCCACUCAAAAGACUGUUGAUGGUCCUUCGAUGAAGGACUGGAGGGGAGGACGUGGUGCUGGUCAAAACAUCAUCCCUAGCUCUACGGGUGCAGCAAAGGCUGUUGGAAAGGUCCUUCCAGCUUUAAAUGGAAAGCUCACUGGCAUGGCCUUCCGGGUUCCUACACCUAACGUAUCCGUUGUUGAUCUGACCUGCCGACUUGAGAAAGACGCUUCCUACGAAGAUGUGAAAGCAGCUAUCAAGGAAGCAUCAGAAGGUCCGCUUAAAGGUAUUUUAGGCUACACAGAUGAGGAUGUUGUUUCAAACGACUUUGUUGGUGACACAAGGUCAAGCAUAUUUGAUGCCAAUGCUGGUAUGGGUCUAAGUUCAUCUUUCAUGAAGCUCGUCUCCUGGUACGACAACGAGUGGGGCUAUAGCAACCGUGUCCUGGAUCUGAUCGGGCACAUGGUUCUUGUCGCCUAA
This 1299-nucleotide ribosomal RNA is filed under the name Triticum aestivum (bread wheat). RNAcentral describes it as "partial small subunit ribosomal RNA". Lineage: Eukaryota; Viridiplantae; Streptophyta; Magnoliopsida; Poales; Poaceae. The record is from RNAcentral.